Molecule: ribosomal RNA, 253 nt
Filed under: uncultured bacterium
Lineage: Bacteria
Description: partial 16S ribosomal RNA
Rfam family: Bacterial small subunit ribosomal RNA
Source: RNAcentral
AACGUAGGAGGCAAGCGUUAUCCGGAUUUAUUGGGCGUAAAGCGUGUGCAGGCGGUCUAGCAAGUUGGAUGUGAAAUCUCCCGGCUUAACUGGGAGAGGUCGUUCAAUACUGCUAGACUAGAGAAUGGGAGAGGGAGGUGGAAUUCCGGGUGUAGUGGUGAAAUGCGUAGAUAUCCGGAGGAACACCAGUGGCGAAAGCGGCCUCCUAGACCAUUUCUGACGCUAAGACACGAAAGCUAGGGUAGCAAACGGG